GAUGAAGAACGUAGCGAAAUGCGAUAAGUAGUGUGAAUUGCAGAAUUCAGUGAAUCAUCGAAUCUUUGAACGCACAUUGCGCCCCUCGGUAUUCCGUGGGGCAUGCCUGUUCGAGCGUCAUUACAACCCUCAAGCUCAGCUUGGUGUUGGGCCCCGCCGCCCCGGCGGGCCCUAAAGUCAGUGGCGGUGCCGUCCGGCUCCGAGCGUAGUAAUUCUUCUCGCUCUGGAGGUCCGGUCGUGUGCUCGCCAGCAACCCCCAAUUUUUUUCAGGUUGACCUCGGAUCAGGUAGGGAUACCCGCUGAACUUAAGCAUAUCAAUAAGCGGAGGA
RNAcentral lists this unclassified non-coding RNA (329 nucleotides) under soil metagenome. RNAcentral's name for it is "partial contains 5.8S ribosomal RNA, internal transcribed spacer 2, and large subunit ribosomal RNA". The stretch from base 1 to 120 matches the Rfam family "5.8S ribosomal RNA", at positions 35 to 154 of the family's 154-position model. The record is from RNAcentral.